Molecule: long non-coding RNA, 368 nt
Organism: Gambusia affinis (western mosquitofish)
Lineage: Eukaryota; Metazoa; Chordata; Actinopteri; Cyprinodontiformes; Poeciliidae
Exons: 3
Source: RefSeq, a predicted model, not a curated record
ACUUGAGUUGUCGCAACGGACAAAAUAAAAAAGUAAACGUAGGGUAAGGAAGUAUGUAGUGAGGUACAGAAAUAAAUAGGAUUGUUAAGGAAGCGUGUCAAGUUAUUCAGCAAGUGAGGCUUUAUAAAUAACAAGGAAAGUAAGAAAUGAAACAGCGUCGGCUAAGGAAUCAAGUUGGACACCGUAUGUGAACCAGGCUUAAGGACAGGCUGUCACUCCUCAAAGUUUCUCACCUCUCCAGUUUUUCAUCCUGCCUGGAUGUAAUGAACAACUGCUGGAUGAAAUGGCACGUUGGUGACUUGUCUUUGAUUUGAUGUUGCCGUCGCAGUGGAGGGCGUCCUGCAGGCACGCAGGGUUUUCUAAAGGUG